AACGAACGCUGGCGGCAUGCCUAACACAUGCAAGUCGAACGAGACCUUCGGGUCUAGUGGCGCACGGGUGCGUAACGCGUGGGAAUCUGCCCUUGGGUUCGGAAUAACAGUAGGAAACGACUGCUAAUACCGGAUGAUGACGUAAGUCCAAAGAUUUAUCGCCCAAGGAUGAGCCCGCGUAGGAUUAGCUAGUUGGUGAGGUAAAGGCUCACCAAGGCGACGAUCCUUAGCUGGUCUGAGAGGAUGAUCAGCCACACUGGGACUGAGACACGGCCCAGACUCCUACGGGAGGCAGCAGUGGGGAAUAUUGGACAAUGGGCGAAAGCCUGAUCCAGCAAUGCCGCGUGAGUGAUGAAGGCCUUAGGGUUGUAAAGCUCUUUUACCCGGGAUGAUAAUGACAGUACCGGGAGAAUAAGCUCCGGCUAACUCCGUG
Molecule: ribosomal RNA, 433 nt
Filed under: uncultured bacterium
Lineage: Bacteria
Description: partial 16S ribosomal RNA
Rfam family: Bacterial small subunit ribosomal RNA
Source: RNAcentral